Molecule: non-coding RNA, 66 nt
Organism: Podarcis raffonei (Aeolian wall lizard)
Lineage: Eukaryota; Metazoa; Chordata; Lepidosauria; Squamata; Lacertidae
Source: the annotation of a RefSeq genome assembly
GCAGCUCAGUGGUAGAGCAUCUGCUUUGUGUGCAGAAGGCCCUGGGUUCAAUCCCCAGCAUCUCCA